Molecule: ribosomal RNA, 454 nt
Filed under: uncultured bacterium
Lineage: Bacteria
Description: bacterial SSU rRNA
Rfam family: Bacterial small subunit ribosomal RNA
Source: RNAcentral
UACGGAAGGCAGCAGUGGGGAAUAUUGCACAAUGGGUGAAAGCCUGAUGCAGCUAUGCCGCGUGUAUGAAGAAGGCCUUAGGGUUGUAAAGUACUUUCAUCGGGGAGGAAAAACAAAACUAAUAAUUUUAUUUCUUGACGUUACCCGAAAAAGAAGCACCGGCUAACUCCGUGCCAGCAGCCGCGGUAAUACGGAGGGUGCUAGCGUUAAUCAGAAUUACUGGGCGUAAAGAGCACGUAGGUGGUUUUUUUAAGUCAGAUGUGAAAUCCCUGGGCUUAACCUGGAACUGCAUUUUGAAACUGAAAUACUAGAGUAUCGUAGAGGGAGGUAGAAUUCUAGGUGUAGCGGUGAAAUGCGUAGAUAUCUGGAGGAAUACCUGUGGCGAAAGCGGCCUCCUAAACGAAUACUGACACUGAGGUGCGAAAGCGUGGGGAGCAAACAGGGAUUAGAUACC